RNAcentral lists this ribosomal RNA (487 nucleotides) under uncultured bacterium. RNAcentral describes it as "bacterial SSU rRNA". It matches the Rfam family "Bacterial small subunit ribosomal RNA", at positions 9 to 492 of the family's 1533-position model. The record is from RNAcentral.
GAGUUUGAUCGUGGCUCAGAUUGAACGCUGGCGGCAGGCCUAACACAUGCAAGUCGAGCGGUAGAGAGAAGCUUGCUUCUCUUGAGAGCGGCGGACGGGUGAGUAAUGCCUAGGAAUCUGCCUGGUAGUGGGGGAUAACGCUCGGAAACGGACGCUAAUACCGCAUACGUCCUACGGGAGAAAGCAGGGGACCUUCGGGCCUUGCGCUAUCAGAUGAGCCUAGGUCGGAUUAGCUAGUUGGUGAGGUAAUGGCUCACCAAGGCGACGAUCCGUAACUGGUCUGAGAGGAUGAUCAGUCACACUGGAACUGAGACACGGUCCAGACUCCUACGGGAGGCAGCAGUGGGGAAUAUUGGACAAUGGGCGAAAGCCUGAUCCAGCCAUGCCGCGUGUGUGAAGAAGGUCUUCGGAUUGUAAAGCACUUUAAGUUGGGAGGAAGGGCAGUAAAUUAAUACUUUGCUGUUUUGACGUUACGACAGAAUAAGCA